Molecule: non-coding RNA, 2682 nt
Organism: Coffea arabica (coffee)
Lineage: Eukaryota; Viridiplantae; Streptophyta; Magnoliopsida; Gentianales; Rubiaceae
Source: RefSeq, a predicted model, not a curated record
GUUAGUUCUGUCCGGGCAAAAACUGAAGCUGUUCUAGGAUGUAGCAGGCACACGACAUGACUGCCUCCUCGGCCUGCCUAUAUUUCAGUUAUCAAACCUGGCCUGCAAGUAAAGAAUGGAAGUCAAGAUACCCCAUCUAACUCCAGCGCCUCAACAAAGAAUUCUGACACCUCCCAAAAGAAUCCGCUUUCCACCCAACAAACCAACCUUUAAAAAAAUUGUCACAGUGCCGACUUCUUCUGCAUCCAAUUCCUCAAUUCAAAUUCAUCUUCCUCUUCGACGACCCCAACACAAAUCCACCCAGAAAACCGAAAAAAAUUCGAAUGAUUGUAAACCCAGCAAUUGUUCUACUGUGUCAGACGUUUUAGGCUUGUUGGACUGCCUUAAAAUCCCCGUUUCUCUCGACCUUUAUGCUUCAUUUAUCGAUGAAUGUACAAAGAGUGGUGACCCCUUACUAGCAAUUGAACUCCAUAACCAUAUUAAGACGAGUUGUCUACGCCCUUCGUUGUCGAUAUUUAAUCGCCUGCUGUUGAUGUAUGUUUCGUGUAACUUGAUUGGAUAUGCACGGGAACUGUUUGAUAAAAUGACUGUGAGAAGUUCUUGUACUUGGGCUGUAAUGGUUGCUGGGUAUUUCGAAAAUGGUGAUUAUGGGGAGGUUAUUGAUCUGUUUUUGGAAAUGCAGUGCUCGGAGCGAGCUAAAGUUGAUGGUGAUAUGGAUGACAUAGUGGCUUCUGCUAUAGUUGUGUGUGUUCUUAAGGCUUGUGCUAAAACAGUGAAUAUGGAACUUGGCAAACAGGUACACGCUUGGGUUGUGAAGAUGGGUUAUGGCGAGAAUCUGGUUUUCAGUGGCUCUUUAAUGCGCUUUUAUGGGAAAGCAGGGUUUCUAGAAGGUUCUGACUGUGUUUUUUAUCAGGUUCCAAAUCGGAAUAAGGUGAUAUGGACAACUAAGAUUGUUAAUCAUUGCUACGAGGAGCAGUUUGAUGAGGCAUUUGAUGUGUUUAAACAAAUGGGGAGGGAGGGUGUAAAGAAGAAUAGUUAUACUUUUUCAAGUGUUCUUAAAGCAUGUGCGAGUAUGAGGGAUGGCGGAUGUUGUGGUCAGCAAGUACAUGCAAAUGUCGUCAAGUUAGGACUGGAGCUUAAUGAGCAUGUACAGUGUGGGUUGGUUAACAUGUAUGGUAAAGGUGGGUUAAUAAAGGAUGCGCAGAAAGUUUUCAAGAUUUGUGGGAACAAUAGAAGUGGUGCUUGCUGGAAUGCAAUGCUUACUGGUUAUAUACAACAAGGGCUUGGCAUUGAAGCCUUUAGAAUCAUAUGUGAUAUGAAGGCAGCCGGCUUGCAACCCCAAGAAUCAUUACUCAAUGAAGUGAGGUUCAUUUGUGGGAGUAGUUUGAUUGAGAAUACAAAAUGAUAGAUAUGAUUACUAGAGUGAUGAUUGCUAUUGGUUUUUGAAAGCAGAUUAGAAUCCUGCUUUGCACAUAUUUAUAUCAAGCUAAUGACUUUAUUGUAGCAUAUCAUAGCCGGACUAUUGAUGGAAGAUGUUUUCUGAUUCCUACUGAUAUUCUCUGAAGAGGAUUUGAAUACUAUCUCCCUGAAAGAUAUCCCAUGCAACUAGCACAAACAUGUGCAGAGUGUCUUGCCUAACUUUCAUCGACUUUAGUGGGACGUGAAUCCGCUUAUUUACAUGUAGAUAUAUGGAAAUUUCUGUUCAAGUACCAUAGUCAUUUCCUUUAUGGGUUAGUUUACAGACACAUCAUCACUGUAGAGACUGACGUAGUGAUUGGAUCAAAGCAAUGAACUGCUCAAUUUUGACUGAUGCAGGGUCUAGAAGCUUCUAUGUCUGCCCGUAAAAUGGUGUGGGCUGCCACACUUGGCUUCUGAUGCAGGACUCUGUUGAUAGCAGUGACUUUAGCAACUUUCAUGAGUAGCAUCUAUCACUCUUGCUUUUAGAGAGCCUAGCUGCAGGAGCAUAUCGGGGCCUUGGCCACCUGGGAACCCAUCAACACCAUUGGUAAGCAACUUGUUGGCUGUUCAACAAGCUGCUGCAAGGAAUACUGCAAUUCCUGAACAAAAUUCAACAGAGACUAAGACUUCCAACUUGGUAGGACUGCAAACUACUGCUCAUGCUACCCUGAGAGCUGAAAUAUCUUCAUCCAACUUGCCAGUGCCCACGCCACCAUCUCAAACUUCUGCAAUGCUGGUUAUUGCCCAUUCUUCAGUUAUCUCGCGAACUGGGACCAACGCUGCAUAUUCCCCAUCUUCGCGGAAACUAGCAAUGACCGAUUCCUCUGAGACCCUAUCAGGACCAUACCAUCCAUCAGUGCUUUCAACCAGUCAUUGGAGGCCACUCUAUCCCAAACAUCUGUUUGUCAGAAAACUUCAAUGUGGGACGUGGAGUAAGGGCACCUGCUGCACAUCUACGACACAAUAUAUGCUUCAGUAGUUGUACAUCCAGAGUCCAGCCCUAGAUGACCAUAACUUCAGUCAUCAAUAAGGUGUCACCAUUCAGCGUGCAGGUGACAUGAUUUGUGCUCAAUAGACCCCAGAAUUGCUGAAAUGCUAUAUCUGAAUCACCUGGUAGGAUUAUCCAUCGGUGAGACUGGGGGGUUGUCCAAUGAAUGAUGAAUCCUUGGUGGAUUUAGGUUAAGAUUUGUAGGGAUUCUUUCAUAAGAUAAUCACUGUUGCUUC